This 843-nucleotide ribosomal RNA is filed under the name uncultured bacterium. RNAcentral's name for it is "bacterial SSU rRNA". The stretch from base 1 to 745 matches the Rfam family "Bacterial small subunit ribosomal RNA", at positions 319 to 1533 of the family's 1533-position model. The record is from RNAcentral.
CUGAUCCAGCCAUGCCGCGUGAGUGAUGAAGGCCUUAGGGUCGUAAAGCUCUUUCGCCAGGGAUGAAAAUGACAGUACCUGGUAAAGAAACCCCGGCUAACUCCGUGCCAGCAGCCGCGGUAAUACGGAGGGGGUUCUGAUCCAGCCAUGCCGCGUGAGUGAUGAAGGCCUUAGGGUCGUAAAGCUCUUUCGCCAGGGAUGAAAAUGACAGUACCUGGUAAAGAAACCCCGGCUAACUCCGUGCCAGCAGCCGCGGUAAUACGGAGGGGGUUAGCGUUGUUCGGAAUUACUGGGCGUAAAGCGUACUUAGGCGGAUCAGAAAGUAAGGGGGGAAAUCCCAGGGCUCAACCCUGGAACUGCCUCUUAAACUCCUGGUCUAGAGUUCGAGAGAGGUGAGUGGAAUUCCAAGUGUAGAGGUGAAAUUCGUAUAUAUUUGGAGGAACACCAGUGGCUAAAGCGGCUCACUGGCUCGAUACUGACGCUGAAGUACCAAAGUGUGGGGAGCAAACAGGAUUAGAUACCCUGGUAGUCCACACCGUAAACGAUGAAUGCCAGACGUCGGGCAGUAUACUGUUCGGUGUCACACCUAACGGAUUAAGCAUUCCGCCUGGGGAGUACGGUCGCAAGAUUAAAACUCAAAGGGAUUGACGGAGAAAAUWGUUUCCUACGGGAGGCAGCAGUGGGGAAUCUUGGACAAUGGGCGCAAGCCUGAUCCAGCCAUGCCGCGUGAGUGAUGAAGGCCUUAGGGUCGUAAAGCUCUUUCGCCAGGGAUGAUAAUGACAGUACCUGGUAAAGAAACCCCGGCUAACUCCGUGCCAGCAGCCGCGGUAAUACGGAGGGGGU